Molecule: ribosomal RNA, 492 nt
Filed under: uncultured Bacteroidota bacterium
Lineage: Bacteria; Pseudomonadati; Bacteroidota
Description: bacterial SSU rRNA
Rfam family: Bacterial small subunit ribosomal RNA
Source: RNAcentral
UGAGGAAUAUUGGUCAAUGGGCGCAAGCCUGAACCAGCCAUGCCGGCGUGCAGGAUGACGGUCCUAUGGAUUGUAAACUGCGUUUUGUACGGGAAGAAACAACAUUACGUGUAAUGUCUUGACGGUACCGUAAGAAUAAGGAUCGGCUAACUCCGUGCCAGCAGCCGCGGUAAUACGGAGGAUCCAAGCGUUAUCCGGAAUCAUUGGGUUUAAAGGGUCCGUAGGCGGUUUAGUAAGUCAGUGGUGAAAGCCCAUCGCUCAACGGUGGAACGGCCAUUGAUACUGCUGAACUUGAAUUACUAGGAAGUAACUAGAAAUAUGUAGUGUAGCGGUGAAAUGCUUAGAGAUUACAUGGAAUACCAAUUGCGAAGGCAGGUUACUACUAGUGGAUUGACGCUGAUGGACGAAAGCGUGGGUAGCGAACAGGAUUAGAUACCCUGGUAGUCCACGCCGUAAACGAUGGAUACUAGCUGUUGGGAGCGAUCUCAGUGG